CCCAGCCAACUACUACAAUUUUACUAUUUAAUUACAUUAAAUAAUAACACUUUCAAAAAAGCUUGAUAAAUGUUACGGACUUACUAAAAUUAAAACAAAAAUAUAAAAACAAUUUCUAAUUUCAAAGUCAGAGAAACCCCAAUUUUCUUCUUCUCUCCAUCGCGCUCUUCGAUAUUCAUCUUCUCCUCAUCGCUCUCUUCGAUAUCCAUCGUUCUCUUCAAUUUCUCGUCAUCACAAUCAAUCUCAAGCUCUGUUCAGCAUGCAGAUCAGAUAAAUCAAAUUCAGAUAAACAAGUUGGCUUGCCGUGAGUUGAGCUUGGAAUAGUUUGAAAGUUCUAAGGAUGGGAGCUAACAUUGUCAUGAAGAAUAUUAAAAGUGUGGAGGUUGACUCUUCAUCUGGGGAUUCAGAUAACAACAAGGUUGUUGGCUCCCGAAAAAGGCAAAGGUCCGAAUCAAGUGGGGGUGCCUCUUGCUCCAACUACAAGGCAUGCCGAGAAAAAUUGCGCAGGGACAGACUAAAUGAGAGGUUCCUAAAAUUGGUUGCUGUGAUAGAGACCGACUACUGGUACAUCAAGAGAGCUUAUUGUGAUGCCUAGUACGCAUGCCCGUAGCAGGUCCACACUGGUCUUUUUGUUCAUCCACGGUGAGCCACUGUUUGUUGACAAACAUUAUCAGGAUAAGGCACUUUCAGACUUGAUCAUUGUUGCCCAACUACUGGCAAAGCUCUUUUGAUGUUCUGCCCACUGAAUGGAGUGAUUAGUUUGAGUCAGGGAUUCAAACUAUAGCUGUGAUUCAAGCUGGUCAUGGUCUUCUGCAGUUGGGCUCCUGCAAGAUUGUAAAAAGAUUCUGUCCCAGAGAGCUGCAAUAUUUUAGAUAGGCAAAAUUGUUAGAAGAUGAACAACAUGGUAAGCCAAAAUGAAUUAUUCAUAUAUUUGCACCAAUUUGUUCUGCUAUUAAAUAAUGUGUAAGUUACAAUUAUUACAGGGCAAUGGGUAGAGCUUAUUCUGAAAUUCUACAAUAUUUCUUAUACUAUUUUCUCUCAUUUCAUAUAAUUAAAAGUACUCAUAUUUUUUCUUUUUUCUUUUGUAACAAGGUUGCAGGAAACAUGAUAUUAGUUUCAAUCAUGAAAACUGGUCACAUUACUAUGAAAGAUACAUAUUCAUUGCAUUGCUUCUUGUAGUUAGCUUUAGGAGUUUCUUUGCCUUUCAUUCCUGCUAUUGGUUGGAUAAUAGAAUUGAAUGGAAAAAAUCUCAUCAAUUUGCUUGAUUGAAUUUUUAGCUCUUUUCUUCUAUCCUUCCAGGUGCACUAAUUACCUAACAUUACAGAAUAAAUUAUUCUUGUACUGUUUUCCUGAUGAGCUUAUAUUUAAAUUUACAUUAAAAAAUUGUUAUUAUUAAAAAAUUAUAACAAUAUAAAAUGUAAUAUUUUCUUAUAUAUAACAUAAUAAUAAUGUAAUUAAAACAUAGGGAAAUUUGCGGCAUUAAUCCCUAAGUAGUUCAAUUUGUUGCGAAAAGAUACUUAUGUAAUUUUUUUUACGGCAAUAAUGUCUGCCGUUAUGGUUUUAGUGCAUUAGUUGGUCCCUUAUUCGUUAAGUGCUAAUUUUAUAUCUAUUAUGACAUGUGGCAAUUAUAGAUUGGUUUAAACAUUAUUAUUUUUUUCAAAUAAAAAUAAAAAACCAAUUUUUACUUUUUUUCCAAAUAUAAUGAAAUCUUUUUUUUUUAAUAAUGGAGACAUUUAGACGGUAUAACUUAAUAAAAUUUACAAUUAAAUUAAAACAUAUUAAACCUUAAUAAAGGAAACUUAAAACUAAAAUCUCCAAAUUUCUUAUCUUAUCAUCUUCAUACCCAACCAUGAAUAACAACCAGAAAACCUAAAUCUCCAAAUCUCCAAAUUUCUCAUCAUCGUGCGAUUUAUGCCCAAUUGUCCCAUCCUAGGUUCUCCAUCGCCGACCAUGAAAAACCAGCAGAAGACAUGAAGAGACGAAAAACCGAUCACACCCUUGUUCUUCCUUUCAACCAAUCGACCCACCAUUGCCGUCCACCAUCGCCGUUCAGAUGUCGGAGCUGCGAAGACAUGGAAACAGACCAUCAUCUCAUCUCCAAAUUAAUCAUUCGCUCUCUCUAUUACUCUCAUAGGUAAGUGGCAUUCUCAAAUAUCUAUUAAUUUCUAAUUUUUGCAAUUUUACAAAAAUAUCAAUAACAUCUUGAAGGUUGGUAAGCAUUAUGUGAUAAUUUUAAAUUUAUGUUAGCAGAUUGAUUGGAAAAAAAAGUUUGUAUCGUUCUUGGUUGUUGGUUAUAUGUUUUGGAAGGUUGUAAGUGAUGAUUGGAAAUAGGUUAGGUGAAAGCAUCCUUUCACUUAAAAAUGGAGAGGAAUAUUAUAACCUGAUUUUUCUUGACAGUGGAGGGACCCCAUGGAAAGGGGAAGAACUUGCUUUUGUAGCCACAAACUCCAUUGGUGCAGAGAACAUCUUGGACCAACAUAAUCCUAAGCUAAGAUUCAUUACAUGCUUCAAGUUUCGGGUGUAUGAGUUGGUGUUGAAUUGCUUUUUAUUAUUUCUUUAGUUAUUGGUAUUUAUUAGAUUUUUGGGUUAAUGAGUUAAAUCUCGUAAAUAUAGUGGGUGUAGCUUUUUGAAUGGGUCGAUCUCGAUAUGUACCCACGUUCAAUGGUGGUGAUUCCUGGACUCCUUAGAAAAUUGGUCAACUAGAGAUUGAAUUUAAAUCUUUAAGCAUGGCAAAAGGUCCUGGCUGUCAUGGACAAUGCUGUGGUUCUUCUAAUUGUUUUUAAGCACAAUCACAUUACCUUCAAGAAAUUUAAAGCGAAAGCAGUCAAAGUUAAGGUGAAAAGGUUAGAGUAAAUAAUGAAGAUGGUCAUGUGUUCAAUUUUUUUUUUUUUGAAUAAUUGGUACUGGGUUGUAAUUCUUGCGUUGGUAUUAGUUUGUGCAAUGAAUUCAAAGUAGAUGGUUUGUGCAAUUUAUCGAUUUGUAAUAUAUUUUAGCUUCCAUGAAUUUUUUUAUAAAAUGGGUAAUAAAUAAACAAAAGAUUGUGAUGAACUUAGUUAGCC
This is an RNA transcript of Cannabis sativa, 3059 nucleotides long. RefSeq lists it as uncharacterized. The transcript is spliced from 9 exons. Lineage: Eukaryota; Viridiplantae; Streptophyta; Magnoliopsida; Rosales; Cannabaceae. The record is from RefSeq and is a predicted model, not a curated record.